GACGAACGCUGGCGGCGUGCUUAACACAUGCAAGUCGAACGGAAAGGCCCCUUUGGGGGUCCUUGAGUGGCGAACGGGUGCGUAACACGUGAGUAACCUGCCCUUGACUUCGGGAUAACUUCAGGAAAGUGGGGCUAAUACCGGAUAGGAAUCCUUGCUGCAUGGGGGGGGUUGGAAAGCUUUAGCGGGUUUGGAUGGACUCGCGGCCUAUCAGCUUGUUGGUGGGGUAGUGGGUUACCAAGGCAUUGACGGGUAGCUGGCCUGAGAGGGCGACCGGCCACAUUGGGGCUGAGGGGCGGCCCAGACGCCUACGAGUGGCAGCAGGGGGGAAUAUUGCACAAUGGGCGGCGGCCGGAUGCAGCAGCGCCGCGGGCUGGAUGACGGCCUUCGUGUGGUAGAACGCUUUCAGCAGGGGCGAAGCUUGUGGUGACGGUACCUGCAGAAGAAGCACCGGCUAACUACGUG
Molecule: ribosomal RNA, 465 nt
Filed under: uncultured bacterium
Lineage: Bacteria
Description: partial 16S ribosomal RNA
Rfam family: Bacterial small subunit ribosomal RNA
Source: RNAcentral